This is a long non-coding RNA of Jaculus jaculus (lesser Egyptian jerboa), 378 nucleotides long. RefSeq lists it as uncharacterized. Lineage: Eukaryota; Metazoa; Chordata; Mammalia; Rodentia; Dipodidae. The transcript is spliced from 2 exons. The record is from RefSeq and is a predicted model, not a curated record.
CUCCCGGCGGGGUCCCUGCUCGGCCUGCGGGCUUGGGCAUUCUCGCGCCGCUCCUCCUCCAUGCCCGCGCGCGUGUGUGAAGUGGGCGAACCCACGGUCCCGGGUGCUGGGAGUCCGUCUAACUCAUUCUCCAAGCAAAUUGGCAGGAGAGACUAUAGCAGAGAAACAGGACAAGUCUACGCUGGACUUCAUACACAGUACAUAUGGAAAGCCUGACCAGACGUGCAAAGAGCGCGGGUUUGAGAGUCGGAGACUGUUGUGGCGUGCAUCCUGUGGUUCCACAUGCCUAAAGUAGGGAGCCUCCUCCCUGUCUCUCUGGGUGUCGAGGAGGAUCCUGUCAAAUAACUGAUACGAUCUAUUAAAGUGUCUUUCCUAUCA